AUUGAACGCUGGCGGAAUGCUUUACACAUGCAAGUCGAACGGCAGCACGGGGCAACCUGGUGGCGAGUGGCGAACGGGUGGGUAAUACAUCGGAACGUGCCCAAUCGUGGGGAUAACGUAGCGAAAGUUACGCUAAUACCGCAUACGAUCUACGGAUGAAAGCGGGGGAUCGCAAGACCUCGCGCGAGUGGAGCGGCCGAUGUCAGAUUAGGUAGUUGGUGGGGUAAAGGCUCACCAAGCCAACGAUCUGUAGCUGGUCUGAGAGGACGACCAGCCACACUGGAACUGAGACACGGUCCAGACUCCUACGGGAGGCAGCAGUGGGGAAUUUUGGACAAUGGGCGCAAGCCUGAUCCAGCCAUUCCGCGUGCAGGAUGAAGGCCUUCGGUUGUAAACUGCUUUGUACGGUAACGAAACGGCGAGCUCUAAUACAGUUUGCUAAUGACGGUACCGUAAGAUAAGCACCGGCUAACUACGU
RNAcentral lists this ribosomal RNA (478 nucleotides) under uncultured bacterium. RNAcentral's name for it is "bacterial SSU rRNA". It matches the Rfam family "Bacterial small subunit ribosomal RNA", at positions 30 to 506 of the family's 1533-position model. The record is from RNAcentral.